Setaria italica (foxtail millet) is the source of this 1441-nucleotide long non-coding RNA. RefSeq lists it as uncharacterized. The record is from RefSeq and is a predicted model, not a curated record. NCBI's taxonomy places the organism in Eukaryota, Viridiplantae, Streptophyta, Magnoliopsida, Poales, Poaceae. The transcript has 7 exons.
CAGUCAUCUUUAAUACUUGCGUCGGAGCAACUGGCCUCGACAUCGGCCCUGGCACCAGCUCAACCUCCAACGACAGCCGAUCCUCAGGACGAAGCUAUCCUGAAGACCUCCGCAACAGUAGAUACUCUGCUCGAGACCCCUUCAAUCUCACCGGCCGUCCUCCUUGAAUCCUUGCCAGUUACACGUGUCUUGGAGGAGACCAACCCAAAUGUUCCAUCGGCCGCUCCCCUGGAGCCGAUCAUUAUUGAGGAUUCUCCAGACACAAACCCAGAGGGUACGCUUCCGGCGGUGAAUGAGUCAUCUCAACAAGACCUGCCGAUGGAAAGAGCUGCACUCCCCGCUCAAGUUGAGGAGAUAUGCUGGAAGAUGGAACAAGAUACUCCAGACAACAGUCUUUUCUCUUUUCAAGUCGAGGAUCUUCCAGAGGAUGAAGAGGCUGAAUCCCGCCUGCUGGCUUUUGGAACGGUGCUUGAUGAAGUAAGGGUUAAACUUCAAAACAUGCGGGCCCUUCUCUAGCAAGAUAUCGGCCGUCUGGUGGAGGAUGCUGAGCCGAUACGCCGGAUCCUUAGUGAGCUCAAAGGCUAAGUGCCAGAGAACAUAGAGGAAGCCCUCCUUCCCGUAGCGCACAUAGAAGUAAUGCAGAUCCAGGUAACGAAGGCUCUGCAGCGUACUGCCGAUCGUGCCAACCAAGAGAAACUGCGCCAACAGAAGGAUUCUCACAAGCUCCAGGCUGAUGAACUCCAUCACCGGAUAGACUUCCUCAAGAAGUCCCAUCCGAACAUCGUCGGCGAAAUUGAUCGGCUAAAAGCGUGGAAAGCAGAACUUGCUAAAGAGAUGGAGCUCGUCAGCUGUGCCAUCAUUGCUGAAGAGAAAAGGCUGGCUGAGCUUCCAGACGCUAUCAAGGAGCUGGAGCGAGAAAAGCAAAGUCACGCACGCCAAGCCCUUAAGCUUCAUCGGAGUACCUCAGAUGUCCCUGGAUCGGCGAUUGAAGAUCAACAGGUGAUAGAUACGGCCGAUCAGAUCCACCUUCGUGCGAAGAACAACUCCAAAGCUUGUAUCCUUUCGUCCUCUGGAACCAGCAACUCCAUCAACUCACCGAAAUGGCCUCAUCUUCCUUUUCCUCCGUCAACCAGACCUGUUUGAAGACCCGAGCAGCGACGAUCGAGAAGGACCUUCAACCUCAACUUCAAUGGCAAAGAUUUCGACAAACAAAUAUAAGGUAGAUGGUGGCUUUUCAGGAAUCGGUGCUCAUAUACGACUUCGACAAUGAUGAAAGGGAAGACUAAUGACCGUUCUUCGCUCGAGUCGCCUAUGAAGGUGGAGUUCGCCUUAGCUUCUGUUUCCGCUGCGUAGAUAUUUUACCUUUCUUUAUUUAGUCCUGAUGGACUUGUACCAGCAUGUGUUGCUGAGUUGUACUCUUACUUAUGUUAAUUUUACUCAG